Triticum aestivum (bread wheat) is the source of this 126-nucleotide non-coding RNA. NCBI's taxonomy places the organism in Eukaryota, Viridiplantae, Streptophyta, Magnoliopsida, Poales, Poaceae. The record is from Rfam.
GGUGUACUCCCUCCGUCCGAAAAAAUUUGUCCCAAGCUUGUCCCUCAAAUGGAUGUAUCUUGCACCAAAUUAGUUCUAGAUACAUUCAUUUGAGAGACAAGUUUUUUCGGACGGAGGGAGUAGUUA